CCCUUAGAUGUUCUGGGCCGCACGCGCGCUACACUGACUGGUGCAACAAGGGUCGCUCCUUGGCCGAUAGGCCUGGGCAAUCUUUGAACGCCAGUCGUGAUGGGGAUAGAUUCUUGCAAUUUUUGAUCUUCAACGAGGAAUUCCUAGUAAACGCGAGUCAUCAACUCGCAUUGAUUACGUCCCUGCCCUUUGUACACACCGCCCGUCGCACCUACCGAUUGAAUGGUCCGGUGAACCCUCCGGAUCGGCUCGCGCCAACGCAAGUUGAGCAAAGGCCGAGAAGUUGGGUAAACCUUACCAUUUAGAGGAAGGUGAAGUCGUAACA
RNAcentral lists this ribosomal RNA (325 nucleotides) under uncultured eukaryote. RNAcentral's name for it is "partial 18S ribosomal RNA". It matches the Rfam family "Eukaryotic small subunit ribosomal RNA", at positions 1470 to 1796 of the family's 1831-position model. The record is from RNAcentral.